RNAcentral lists this ribosomal RNA (201 nucleotides) under uncultured bacterium. RNAcentral's name for it is "partial 16S ribosomal RNA". It matches the Rfam family "Bacterial small subunit ribosomal RNA", at positions 328 to 539 of the family's 1533-position model. The record is from RNAcentral.
ACGCUCGACACCUACUGGAGGCAGCAGUGGGGAAUAUUGGGCAAUGGGCGCAAGCCUGACCCAGCAACGCCGCGUGAAGGAAGAAGGCCCUCGGGUUGUAAACUUCUUUUGUCAGGGACGAAGCAAGUGACGGUACCUGACGAAUAAGCCACGGCUAACUACGUGCCAGUAGCCGCGGUAAUCUGAGCGGGCUGGCAAGGC